Molecule: ribosomal RNA, 506 nt
Filed under: uncultured bacterium
Lineage: Bacteria
Description: partial 16S ribosomal RNA
Rfam family: Bacterial small subunit ribosomal RNA
Source: RNAcentral
AGUGAACGCUGGCGGUAGGCCUAACACAUGCAAGUCGAACGGCAGCACAGAGGAGCUUGCUCCUUGGGUGGCGAGUGGCGGACGGGUGAGGAAUACAUCGGAAUCUACUCUGUCGUGGGGGAUAACGUAGGGAAACUUACACUAAUACCGCAUACGACCUACGGGUGGAAGCAGGGGACCUUCGGGCCUUGCGCGAUUGAAUGAGCCGAUGUCGGAUUAGCUAGUUGGCGGGGUAAAGGCACACCAAGGCGACGAUCCGUAGCUGGUCGGAGAGGAUUAUAAGCCAAAAUGGAACUGAGAAACGGUCCAGACUCCUACGGGAGGCAGCAGUGGGGAAUAUUGGACAAUGGGAGCAAGCCUGAUGCAGCCAUACCGCGUGGGUGAAGAAGGCCUUCGGGUUGUAAAGCCCUUUUGUUGGGAAAGAAAUCCAGCUGGCUAAUACCCGGUUGGGAUGACGGUACCCAAAGAAUAAGCACCGGCUAACUUCGUGCCAGCCGCCGCCGUAA